Molecule: long non-coding RNA, 345 nt
Filed under: Fukomys damarensis (Damara mole-rat)
Lineage: Eukaryota; Metazoa; Chordata; Mammalia; Rodentia; Bathyergidae
Description: lncRNA (ENSFDAG00000025766.1)
Source: RNAcentral
CAGUUUCUGCCCCACUUUGUAGCAAAAAUGUUUUAACCUUUCUUUUGAUAUAGUUCUAAUUGAUGAAGGCAGAAGUAUCGUAGUAUGGACUUAAAACAUGUUGCUUGAAUUGGGCUCUACCUUUCCUUGAAACUCAUAGGCCAUCAAUUCUGAGCUGCUCCUCAAUCAUCCUUACUGUAAAGCUUUUCACUUGGAAAAGUGUUCAAAUGUAAAGGUUAAUGUUGCCUGUGUUUGUAGGCUGUUAUAUUUCAGAAAGGAUUCGAGGUAAGUCAAGCUCAUACAAUGAGCCACGUAUUCAAUAUUUCUGAGGAGAGAAAAAUGUGUCUUUUCUCGUUACACUGGACA